RNAcentral lists this transfer RNA (78 nucleotides) under Crocinitomicaceae bacterium. RNAcentral describes it as "tRNA-Lys". It matches the Rfam family "tRNA". Rfam says of the family: Transfer RNA (tRNA) molecules are approximately 80 nucleotides in length. Lineage: Bacteria; Pseudomonadati; Bacteroidota; Flavobacteriia; Flavobacteriales; Crocinitomicaceae. The record is from RNAcentral.
CGGGGCGUAGCUCAGCGGUUUUAGAGCAGUUGGCUUUUAACCAAUUGGUCGGGGGUUCGAAUCCCCCCGCCUCGACCA